Molecule: ribosomal RNA, 497 nt
Filed under: uncultured bacterium
Lineage: Bacteria
Description: partial 16S ribosomal RNA
Rfam family: Bacterial small subunit ribosomal RNA
Source: RNAcentral
GAUGAACGCUGGCGGCGUGCCUAAUACAUGCAAGUCGAGCGAACAGACGAGGAGCUUGCUCCUCUGACGUUAGCGGCGGACGGGUGAGUAACACGUGGAUAACCUACCUAUAAGACUGGGAUAACUUCGGGAAACCGGAGCUAAUACCGGAUAAUAUAUUGAACCGCAUGGUUCAAUAGUGAAAGACGGUUUUGCUGUCACUUAUCGAUGGAUCCGCGCCGCAUUCGCUAGUUGGUAAGGUAACGGCUUACCAAGGCAACGAUGCGUAACCGACCUGAGAGGGUGAUCGGCCACACUGGAACUGAGACACGGUCCAGACUCCUACGGGAGGCAGCAGUAGGGAAUCUUCCGCAAUGGGCGAAAGCCUGACGGAGCAACGCCGCGUGAGUGAUGAAGGUCUUCGGAUCGUAAAACUCUGUUAUUAGGGAAGAACAAAUGUGUAAGUAACUAUGCACGUCUUGACGGUACCUAAUCAGAAAGCCACGGCUAACUACGUG